Molecule: long non-coding RNA, 2987 nt
Filed under: Theobroma cacao (cacao)
Lineage: Eukaryota; Viridiplantae; Streptophyta; Magnoliopsida; Malvales; Malvaceae
Description: long non-coding RNA (TCAC_LNC004688)
Source: RNAcentral
CUGCUGUUCAAAAGGGCAGGCAACUAUGGACCUAUUUUCACCAUCAAGCUCGGUUUAUCUCAAGCUGUAAUCGUGAGUAAUCGCGAGCUAGCCAAAGAGUGCCUGUCAACAAAUGAUAAAGUCUUUGCCACACGCCCGAAAUCAAUUGCAUUUGAAAUCUUGGGUUACAACUAUGCUGUAUUCGGUUUCAGCCCUUAUGGCUCCUAUUGGCACCAUAUACGCAAGCUUGCCACUGUUAAAUAUAUGAUAUAUAAAAUAUUUUAAAAUUUUUGAGAGGUCACAACACAACCCUCCGCCUUCGUGCCACUGCUACUACCUCAUGAAUCCAUGGAAGAUUGCGUCGUGGGUGGUUACCAUAUCCCGAAGGGGCACAAAGCUUAUCUUUAACGCAUUCAAGAUUCAUAGAGAUCCUCACAUUUGACCAGAUCCUCACAAGUUUCAACCAGAAAGAUUUCUCACGAUACACAAGGAUAUUGACAUGAGGGGUCGGAGCUUCGAAUUUUUACCCUUUGGAAGUGGCAGAAGGGUGUGCCCUGUAGCCUCUUUCGCCCUUCAAGUAGUGGAUGGAUUUGAAAUAACAUCCCUGUCGGAUGAACCCAUUGAUUGAUAUGACUCAGAGCUCAGGAAUAACCAACCUCAAGGCCACCCCAUUCGAGGUCCUCUUGUCUCCACGCCUUACAGCCUAUCUAUACGGAUAAAUCAACCAUCAAAACUGUUUAAAUAUGAUCUCAUUCAUAUAAGAAAGGCAGUAGUUUAUACUAAUCAUUGGGUUAAAAAUAUUUCUCUUAUCUUUAAUGACUUCCUUCUUCUAAAAUGGAUUGUAAGAAUCGUUGAUAUGUAAAUGAUCGAGCAUAUGCAUCUUAUAUUAGAAAAAGUAAUGUAAGGUAUUCUCCACGAGUAAUAAGUGGCUACAUUUCCUUUCUCGAUUGACAAGUCCUAGAACAACUCCAAACCUUCCUGCCUCUUGUUAUGAGUUAUAAUGAUUUGUAAAGUAAUUUUACUUCAACUCUUUCACUGUUCUACAGGUUCUUUUGGUUGCAAUAAACUUCAAGUUGGCCUCUGUGUGAAAGGGUGCCUUAUUUCAGUUUGGGUUUCAAAGCCCAAACCAAAGAAGCACACCAACUUGGAGGUGACUUGGAUUUCUUCUUUCAAGUAAUUUCCAUUUAAGUAUUUAAGUAAUGAACCAUGUGAUUUGAACUUUAAAGAAAGAAGAUUUGAGCUUUAAUAUAUUUGAUUUGAAAGGAAUUAGGAUAAGUGAAGGCACAAUCGUGAAGCUAUUUAAAAUCCUUACGCUGCCACAAGAAUGUAUACGUCUGCAAGUACCAUAACCUCCAUUGCUCAAGUUUGGCAAUGGAUACUUCUCAUUCAUACCCAGCAAUUUCAACGAUAGCAAUAACAUUUUCCCUUCCGGUAUUCUUUCUUAUCCUUCUAUGGAUAUCAAAAACUUCCUUCAGAUGCACAAACAAAAAGAGAGCAGCACCAGAAGCUGGAAAUUCAUGGCCUGUACUUGGCCAUCUCCACCUCCUAGCAGGACGGCAACCAGCACACCUAACAUUGAGCGCCAUGGCAGACAAAUAUGGCCCAAUCUUUACCAUCAAGUUGGGUGUGCGUAGAGCUUUGGUUGUGAGCAGCUGGGAAACUGCCAAGGAAUGCCUAACCACCAACGACAAAGCCUUUGCCACUCGUCCAAAAAAUAUUUCCAUGGAGGUUUUGGGCUACAACCACGCCAUGUUUGGCUUCGCACCUUACGGACCAUACUGGCGCAACAUGCGUAAAAUUACCACUCUCGAGCUCCUCUCGAACCACCGACUGGAUAUGCUCAAACAUGUACGAGAAUCUGAGAUGAAGGUAUCCUUACAAGAGUUAUAUCAACUUUGGAAAGAGAACAAAAAUAGCUCUGAUAAGGUUUUGGUGGAGAUGGAUAAAUGGUUCCGCGAUGCAACCGCCAACGUGAUUCUCAAGAUGAUAGUAGGGAAGCGAAUUUCGAGUUUGGGGAAUGAUGCAGAGAGUGGGAGAUGGAAGAACGCGUUGAAGGAGUUCUUCGAGUUGAGUGGGAAGUUUUUGGUAGCGGAUGCAUUCCCAUUUUUGAGAUGGUUGGACAUUGGGGGAGACGAGAGGUUGAUGAAGAAGGUGAAGAAAGUACUGAACGAAGUUGCUGAGGAAUGGUUACAAGAGCACAAGCAAAAGAGAGCUUCGGGUGAGUUCAGGGACGAGGAAGAAGACUUCAUGGAUGUCAUGCUGUCAAUCCUCACCGACGCCAAGGAGUAUGAUGCUGAUACAAUAAACAAAGCUACGUGCCUGGUAUGCUCUAAUUUGAUUUGUUAAUUCAUCAAUAAUCAAUCAUAAACUUCAUUUAGAAAUAACUCCAUUCAGAUUUUACCUUUGACAAUUUAAAUUAUAUAUGUUAUCUUUCGAUUACUUUUCAGAUUCUUAUCUUAGCAGCCACUGAUCCCACAGCGGUUACAUUGACAUGGUGUUUAGCCUUAUUACUCAAUAAUCGUGAUGCGUUGAAGAAAGCACAGCAAGAAAUAGACAUCCAUAUCGGUAAAGACAAGCCAGUGGAGGAAAAUGAUAUAAAGAAUUUAGUUUACCUUCAAGCCAUAAUCAAGGAAACCUUGCGAUUACACCCUGCCGGACCACUCGCAGUGCCUCAUGAAUCCAUGGAAAACUGCACCGUUAAUGGCUACCAUAUCCCUGCAGGCACAGAACUUCUCAUCAAUCUUUACAAAAUCCAUCGCGAUUCUCGCGUAUGGUCUGAUCCUUACAAGUUUCAACCGGAAAGGUUUUUGACUACUCACAAAAAUUUUGAUGUAAGGGGUCAGAAUUUUGAGUUGAUACCAUUUAGUAGUGGAAGAAGAAUGUGCCCUGGAGUUUCCUUUGCGCUUCAGGUUGUGCAGCUUACGCUAGCCAAUUUGCUGCAUGGGUUUGACUUAGCAACGCCAUUCGAUGAACCAGUUGAUAUGCGAGAGGCAGCCGGGCUGUCAAAC